Molecule: ribosomal RNA, 207 nt
Filed under: uncultured bacterium
Lineage: Bacteria
Description: partial 16S ribosomal RNA
Rfam family: Bacterial small subunit ribosomal RNA
Source: RNAcentral
UGCGUAGGCGGACUGCUAAGUCUGGGGUGAAAUCUUGCCGCUUAACGGUAAAAUGGCCUUGGAUACUGGCAGUCUUGAGUGUAGAAGAGGCAGGUGGAAUUCGUAGUGUAGCGGUGAAAUGCAUAGAUAUUACGAAGAACAUCAGUGGCGAAGGCGGCCUGCUGGUCUACAACUGACGCUGAGGCACGAAAGCGUGGGGAGCGAACA